This is an RNA transcript of Herpailurus yagouaroundi (jaguarundi), 2195 nucleotides long. It is a transcript of the gene named pseudouridine 5'-phosphatase, with no coding region annotated. NCBI's taxonomy places the organism in Eukaryota, Metazoa, Chordata, Mammalia, Carnivora, Felidae. The transcript is spliced from 7 exons. The record is from RefSeq and is a predicted model, not a curated record.
GGGCGCGCGGGCGCGGGGCGGCGGGCGCGCGCACCUCUCUCCGCCCCUACCUGGCCGUGACGCUGGCACAAUGGCGGCUUCCGUGCCCCCGCCGCGGCCCGUCACCCACCUGCUCUUUGACAUGGACGGCCUCCUUCUUGAUACCGAACGGCUGUAUUCGGUGGUGUUCCAAGAAAUAUGUGAUCGCUACGGAAAGAAAUACAGUUGGGACGUCAAGUCCCUUGUUAUGGGGAAGAAGGCAUCAGAGGCGGCACAGAUCAUAAUAGACGUCCUGCAGCUCCCGAUGACCAAAGAGGAGCUGCUGGAGGAAAGCCAGACGAAGUUGAAAGAGGUGUUCUCCACGGCCGCCCUGAUGCCAGGGGUGGAGAGACUGAUUCGCCAUCUGCGCCGGCACGGCGUGCCCCUGGCCGUGGCCACCAGCUCCAGCCGCGCAUCGUUUGACAUGAAGACCGGCAGACACCAGGCCUUCUUCGGCUUGUUUGACCACAUCGUGUUGGGGGAUGACCCCGAAGUGAGCAACGGGAAGCCCCAUCCCGACAUAUUUCUGGUCUGUGCCAAGAGGUUUUCCCCUGCUCCGCCCACCCACCAGAAAGAACUUUGCAUGGUGUUGCCCCCUGAAGAUGCAAUUCAGCAUCAAAACCAGCUUGGUCUCCCUCAAAGAAACCAUUGACGUGCAAAAGACCUCUAGGAUGUAGCAUUUCAUCAUACACUAGGGCUGCAGUGCACUCUGCAGAAUUGGACUUGAAAAAUGAAGAAGGUAGAUGGAGGUUAUAGUAAAUUUCUGUCGCACUAAAAGUUUCCUGAUCCCACGGCCGUGCGGUUUGUUGGAAUGUUGCAUGUCCUUGAAGCACUGUUCACCAGGCUUGUGGGGCUGGAACGCACGGAGAACUCAUUUUGCUACAACAGGAGGUUGCCAGGCCCUGGAACCCAAACAGGCGUCCAGAAGUACUUUGGCAUCUUUCUCCCACAUCCAUGGUCACCAUAUUGCAACACGGUGGUCCCACAUUCAUAUUCUCAUCCUGGAUCCCAUGAUGUUUUCAUCAUGCUGACGUUCUUUGCCAUGCUGCAGCUUUUCAUGGCCUGGGACGAUGAGGGCCUCAGCAUUGUAGCAUCACUUAGUCGAGACUCUUGCUCCCUGCCUUUGGUUUAUCAAAUGACCGACUCAGGAGCAGCGGCACAUGGACCCCCAAGCAAAGGUCUCAGGUGGCAGUCCCUGGAAUGUUCUUGUUUCGAUGGUCCUGAGAGUUUGCAAUUAGGUUUAUAUACCUUGCCUUAAUGACUGAAGUGUCCAAAAUCAUAAAUUCAAACUGUAAUGGAAGAAAAUGAUAAUUUAUCUCAUGACUGCAGUAAACAUAGUCCGAUGUCUCAGAUUUAUCCCCCUGAUUAUUCUUUAAACCAGAAAAGAUAUGUAUCAACCUAGAAAUGGUCUUUUUUAUGGGGAGCCAAUUCCAUGACUGUAUGUACCAUUGAUUCUUGGUCACUGAUGCCACUUUCGUAUUCGUGGGACAAGGAUGUUUUCCACAAAGCUCUCCCCUAUAAGAUAAUGGCAGCUGAUGCCUGAGCAUCUGCAUCUGGAAGUCUUGAUAUGAAAGUUUCUACCCCUCUUAGAUGAGAGGUGGCCUGUGGUCCCCACAAUGGGAUCCAGUUCUUUCUGCCCAUUCAUGGAGUGACUUGGAGAACAGAAAGCUGGUUUGCUGAAGAACCACUCAGUAGAGAGCUGACUGGAACGCUGAUGCCCAGAGGGACCCUGCAAGAUGUGGGCUGAAGACAACAGAGGCAUGACAGCUUGGAUCCCCGAAUGACUGUGUGGACCAGAGACUUCCACUGCCCCAUGGCACAAGCCCUACACUGUGCAUGAGAGUGACCACGUCUGAGCCACCACGUUGGGUCCAUUUGUAGCUGCAGCUUACCUACUCUAAAGCACCACCUCUGGUAGCCAGGAUUCUGACUACGUGUUGGUUGAUGCUCGAACAGAUUUUUGAGCCACCAUCGAAUCAUUUCUGAGGUCCGUCUACCGAGAUCAAGUCCCAUAAAGCAGGGAAAUCAUUUCCAUUGAUGACGAAUAGGUUGCCUUUAUGUGUUACCUUCACUUGGACACAUCCCACUGGAAGUCCUGGCUUUCACAGGAUCAUUUCAGGCCAUCGGUAACGGAUUAUGAACCGUAGUCCAUGAAGGAGCAGGCUUGUUGGGAGACG